AGUGAACGCUGGCGGUAUGCCUAACACAUGCAAGUCGAACGGCAGCACAGUAAGCGCUUGCUCUUACGUGUGGCGAGUGGCGGACGGGUGAGGAAUACAUCGGAAUCUACUUUUUCGGGGGGGAUAACGUAGGGAAACUUACGCUAAUACCUCAUACGACCUACGGGUGAAAGCAGGGGAUCUUCGGACCUUGCGCGAGUGAAUGAGCCGAUGUCGGAUUAGCUAGUUGGCGGGGUAAAGGCCCACCAAGGCGACGAUCCGUAGCUGGUCUGGGAGGAUGGUCAGCCACACUGGAACUGAGACACGGUCGAGACUCCUACGGGAGGCAGCAGUGGGGAAUAUUGGACAAUGGGCGCAAGCCUGAUCCAGCCAUACCGCGUGCGUGAAGAAGGCCUUCGGGUUGUAAAGCCCUUUUGUUGGGAAAGAAAAGCAGCAGGUUAAUACCCCGCUGUUCUGCCGGUACCCAAAGAAUAAGCACCGGCUAACUUCGUG
RNAcentral lists this ribosomal RNA (492 nucleotides) under uncultured bacterium. RNAcentral describes it as "partial 16S ribosomal RNA". It matches the Rfam family "Bacterial small subunit ribosomal RNA", at positions 29 to 507 of the family's 1533-position model. The record is from RNAcentral.